ACUUGAAGCUUUAUCGUUUAACCAGCAUUCGUCUGUAGUUCUUUCUUGUUCGGUUGCAGUUCGUUUUAUCGAGAUUUUUCCUAAAUUGAUUCUUAACUACUUCAGAUCGUAUCUAUUGAUUCAUUUUUGUAGCAAUAACGAACUGGUGACUACGCAGCAUAACAAAGCUUUUGAGACAAAAUGGAAAAUAAUAAUCAACAACUAUCUGAGGUUGGUGCUUCAUCAAUUGGGGCAAGAGAAGAAAGACCAUCAACAAGCAAUAGAUCAGAAAAUCCACAGGCUGAAAAUGUUAUCCCAGCGCCUUCUGAGUUGGGCAAUAUCAAUGUCACCGUAAGAAGUACUUACAGAUCGGGGGAUAGCCACCUGUCAGCUUUUCCGAUUAUUCGUUAUCGUAUACACAUAUACUUUUGAUUGUUACAGAUUCCGGAAACACCAACAAGAACUCAAAAACCGGAUGAAUUUAAAGAAGAAAUAUAAUUUUGCAGUAAUUGUUUUGAUGUAGAUUCCUCUUUUAAUAAA
Molecule: long non-coding RNA, 519 nt
Organism: Teleopsis dalmanni
Lineage: Eukaryota; Metazoa; Arthropoda; Insecta; Diptera; Diopsidae
Exons: 4
Source: RefSeq, a predicted model, not a curated record